This 274-nucleotide long non-coding RNA is filed under the name Nicotiana benthamiana. RNAcentral describes it as "long non-coding RNA (NBEN_LNC009508)". Lineage: Eukaryota; Viridiplantae; Streptophyta; Magnoliopsida; Solanales; Solanaceae. The record is from RNAcentral.
GUUAAGAAAGUGAGAGGAGUAAGAGGCACAAAAUUAGCUCCAUUUUUAGGUAACCUGUCCAUGGGAUCCAAAAGCCAAAGCUGAAUUACUUUCUAUUAAUAAUCCUACGUUUUUAGAAAAGGUUUGCUGCUUUGUAUAUAGAGAGCUAAAGAUAGGCUUUGUAGUUUGUGUAAGAGAUGCAGCAGUUAGGUUAUGUUUAUAUAGAGAGAAAAGUGGUAGUUAGUCCCAUGUCCAUGUGGUCCCUUAAAUGGUUGUUUAGAUGGAAAUAAUUGGG